Molecule: long non-coding RNA, 760 nt
Organism: Pseudopipra pipra
Lineage: Eukaryota; Metazoa; Chordata; Aves; Passeriformes; Pipridae
Exons: 2
Source: RefSeq, a predicted model, not a curated record
CUGUGUGCCUGCAGGUAAGAAAAGCUGGGAGUGCAGUCCCUCUGCUUUGCUUGCUGUGUCUCUUGGGUAGUGAUUUUGGAGGGGAAUCCCAGAGCGAUUUGGUUUGAAGGGGACCUUCAAAGGCCACCCUGUCUUCCGUGGGCAGGGACACCUUCCCCUCUCAUCCCCGGUUGCUCCAAGUCCCGUCCAGCCUGGCCUGGAACACUUGCAGGGAUCCAGGGGCAGCCUCAGCUUCCCUGUGCAGUGUGCUCUAAUAUCUCUCCACUGGCAUCCUGAAAAAUGUUGUCAGCGUGUUUUGUUGGACGACGGUAAGCGGGACCUGGGUGAAAAGGACAUUCUCUGAGGUGCUGGGAGAAGGAGGGCUCGUGCGGGCACCUCCAGAGACAGUGGGAACGGGAGCGUGCUGCAGAGAAGGAAAAUUCCAGGGGAAUUGCCACGAGAGGAAAUACUUCAGAGGGGCUUCCCUCCAGAUAAGCCCUGAAUGUGCCAGGAGGUUUCAGCCGGGAGAAAGGAGCUGUGGAAGAAAAGCAGCCUAAAAAUAGCCAGCGGGGAUCAUCAGGUUUUCCAGCCAAGAAAAACCAGGAGGGAGAUGAGGGAAUCGGGUUCCAAUUCCUAAAGAUUUGGUGGGUGUAGGAAUGAUUUCUGUGUGUUUUCCAGUCCCUUUUGAUUCCUGGGAUGAUUUUAAAAUGAUGGCUAAAUUGGAGAUGUUGUUUUUGAGAGGAAAUGAUGCCAAAUAAAUGCAAAGUUUGGGGUCAGUUUU